Molecule: long non-coding RNA, 688 nt
Organism: Camelina sativa (false flax)
Lineage: Eukaryota; Viridiplantae; Streptophyta; Magnoliopsida; Brassicales; Brassicaceae
Source: RefSeq, a predicted model, not a curated record
CAGAGGAGAGUGAUUCAGUUUAUGGUAACUCAUCAUCUCCACCGACGGCAGGUCAACUGGAAACUCUAGUGCAUGUGACCUGCAAGUUUUGUCUUUGAAAUCGGAGAGUCACAGUCACAUUACGGUGGAUCCGAUCUGCACAUUCACGUUGGAGGAGGAACAUGAAAGGCGAUUAUUUCUGGGAAAGUAAAGCAAGCACCAUUACAGAAGAUUUUCACAGUAGGGAUGUUGGAUCAGAGGCUUGUAGGAGCCACCAAUCAGCCAAAACCAGCUCAGUGGCAUAGAAUUGCAGUGCGCAAGAGUGGUCUAGAGCAUCUUAUUGUAGAAUGGUGGUCUGUGGUUUUACAAGACAGUAGACCUGCAAUUUCUGCAUUUUUUGUUCAAUUGGUGUUGGGACAGUCUAUGACAAGAGGCAACCAAGUUCUGUGCCAGUUGAGACAAACCAUUGAUGAAUUGGAAAUGAUGCAUACAUGAGAAUGUUGUACACUUUCUCGCUGAAUUAAAAAUGAUGCAUUACGACACCGUGAUGUUCCUUCCAUCCAUGCUUACACAUCAAGAUGCUCUCUGAUUCUGUUUUUGCAUUUUCUGCAGGUCUGAUUAUGUUUUUGCAUUCUUCUGCAAGUUUUUUCACUUGUGUCUUGUAUUUACUUUGUUCCAAUACACCAAAUUUCAUACACUUAAAACAUCA